Molecule: ribosomal RNA, 208 nt
Filed under: uncultured bacterium
Lineage: Bacteria
Description: partial 16S ribosomal RNA
Rfam family: Bacterial small subunit ribosomal RNA
Source: RNAcentral
UUCAGAUUGCAGUCUGCAACUCGACUGCAUGAAGUCGGAAUCGCUAGUAAUCGCGGAUCAGCAUGCCGCGGUGAAUACGUUCCCGGGCCUUGUACACACCGCCCGUCACACCAUGGGAUCCGGUAAUACCCGAAGUCAGUAGUCCAACCUCGUGAGGACGCUGCCGAAGGUAGGAUUGGCGACUGGGGUGAAGUCGUAACAAGGUACC